CAAAAUGUAGCUUAACAAAGCUCUCGCUUACACCGAGAAAAUACCCGUGAAACCCGAGUCAUUUUGA
This 67-nucleotide transfer RNA is filed under the name Pseudopaludicola restinga. Its description in RNAcentral is "tRNA-Val". Lineage: Eukaryota; Metazoa; Chordata; Amphibia; Anura; Leptodactylidae. The record is from RNAcentral.